CCUACGGGGGGCAGCAGUGGGGAAUAUUGGACAACGGGCGAAAGCCUGAUCCAGCCAUGCCGCGUGUGUGAAGAAGGCCUUCGGGUUGUAAAGCACUUUCAGUGGGGAAGAAAGCCUUGGGGCUAAUACCCUCGAGGAAGGACAUCACCCACAGAAGAAGCACCGGCUAACUCCGUGCCAGCAGCCGCGGUAAUACGGAGGGUGCGAGCGUUAAUCGGAAUUACUGGGCGUAAAGCGCGCGUAGGCGGUCUGAUAAGCCGGUUGUGAAAGCCCCGGGCUCAACCUGGGAACGGCAUCCGGAACUGUCAGGCUAGAGUGCAGGAGAGGAAGGUAGAAUUCCCGGUGUAGCGGUGAAAUGCGUAGAGAUCGGGAGGAAUACCAGUGGCGAAGGCGGCCUUCUGGACUGACACUGACGCUGAGGUGCGAAAGCGUGGGUAGCAAACAGGAUUAGAUACCCCAGUAGUC
Molecule: ribosomal RNA, 465 nt
Filed under: Vreelandella stevensii
Lineage: Bacteria; Pseudomonadati; Pseudomonadota; Gammaproteobacteria; Oceanospirillales; Halomonadaceae
Description: partial 16S ribosomal RNA
Rfam family: Bacterial small subunit ribosomal RNA
Source: RNAcentral